AGUCGAACGAUGAAGCUGGAGCUUGCUCCAGUGGAUUAGUGGCGAACGGGUGAGUAACACGUGAGAAAUCUGCCCUUGACUCUGGGAUAACUGCGGGAAACUGUAGCUAAUACCGGAUACUUUCCUCGGUGGGCAUCCACUGAGGAAGAAAGAAUUUCGGUCAAGGAUGAUCUCGCGGCCUAUCAGCUAGUUGGUGAGGUAACGGCUCACCAAGGCGACGACGGGUAGCCGGCCUGAGAGGGUGACCGGCCACACUGGGACUGAGACACGGCCCAGACUCCUACGGGAGGCAGCAGUGGGGAAUAUUGCACAAUGGGCGCAAGCCUGAUGCAGCAACGCCGCGUGAGGGAUGAAGGCCUUCGGGUUGUAAACCUCUUUUAGCAGGGAAGAAGCGAAAGUGACGGUACCUGCAGAAAAAGCACCGGCUAACUACGUGCCAGCAGCCGCGGUAAUACGUAGGGUGCAAGCGUUGUCCGGAAUUAUUGGGCGUAAAGAGCUCGUAGGCGGUUUGUCACGUCUGCUGUGAAAAUCCAAGGCUCAACCUUGGACUUGCAGUGGGUACGGGCAGGCUAGAGUGCGGUAGGGGAGAUGGGAAUUCCUGGUGUAGCGGUGGAAUGCGCAGAUAUCA
This 628-nucleotide ribosomal RNA is filed under the name uncultured Microbacteriaceae bacterium. RNAcentral describes it as "bacterial SSU rRNA". It matches the Rfam family "Bacterial small subunit ribosomal RNA", at positions 60 to 699 of the family's 1533-position model. Lineage: Bacteria; Bacillati; Actinomycetota; Actinomycetes; Micrococcales; Microbacteriaceae. The record is from RNAcentral.